This 911-nucleotide ribosomal RNA is filed under the name uncultured Moraxellaceae bacterium. RNAcentral's name for it is "bacterial SSU rRNA". It matches the Rfam family "Bacterial small subunit ribosomal RNA", at positions 50 to 955 of the family's 1533-position model. Lineage: Bacteria; Pseudomonadati; Pseudomonadota; Gammaproteobacteria; Moraxellales; Moraxellaceae. The record is from RNAcentral.
UACACAUGCAAGUCGAGCGGAGAUGAGGUGCUUGCACCUUAUCUUAGCGGCGGACGGGUGAGUAAUGCUUAGGAAUUUGCCUAUUAGUGGGGGACAACAUUUCGAAAGGAAUGCUAAUACCGCAUACGCCCUACGGGGGAAAGCAGGGGAUCUUCGGACCUUGCGCUAAUAGAUGAGCCUAAGUCGGAUUAGCUAGUUGGUGGGGUAAAGGCCUACCAAGGCGACGAUCUGUAGCGGGUCUGAGAGGAUGAUCCGCCACACUGGGACUGAGACACGGCCCAGACUCCUACGGGAGGCAGCAGUGGGGAAUAUUGGACAAUGGGGGGAACCCUGAUCCAGCCAUGCCGCGUGUGUGAAGAAGGCCUUUUGGUUGUAAAGCACUUUAAGCGAGGAGGAGGAGCUCUAGAUUAAUACUCUAGAUGCUUGGACGUUACUCGCAGAAUAAGCACCGGCUAACUCUGUGCCAGCAGCCGCGGUAAUACAGAGGGUGCAAGCGUUAAUCGGAUUUACUGGGCGUAAAGCGUGCGUAGGUGGUCUUUUAAGUCGGAUGUGAAAUCCCUGAGCUUAACUUAGGAAUUGCAUUCGAUACUGGGAGACUAGAGUAUGGGAGAGGAUGGUAGAAUUCCAGGUGUAGCGGUGAAAUGCGUAGAGAUCUGGAGGAAUACCGAUGGCGAAGGCAGCCAUCUGGCCUAAUACUGACACUGAGGUACGAAAGCAUGGGGAGCAAACAGGAUUAGAUACCCUGGUAGUCCAUGCCGUANACGAUGUCUACUAGCCGUUGGGGUUUUUGAGACUUUAGUGGCGCAGCUAACGCGAUAAGUAGACCGCCUGGGGAGUACGGUCGCAAGACUAAAACUCAAAUGAAUUGACGGGGGCCCGCACAAGCGGUGGAGCAUGUGGUUUAAUUCGAU